AUUGAACGCUGGCGGCAUGCCUUACACAUGCAAGUCGAACGGCAGCACGGGUGCUUGCACCUGGUGGCGAGUGGCGAACGGGUGAGUAAUACAUCGGAACAUGUCCUGUAGCGGGGGAUAGCCCGGCGAAAGCCGGAUUAAUACCGCAUACGAUCUACGGAUGAAAGCGGGGGACCUUCGGGCCUCGCGCUAUAGGGUUGGCCGAUAGCUGAUUAGCUAGUUGGUGGGGUAAAGGCCUACCAAGGCGACGAUCAGUAGCUGGUCUGAGAGGACGACCAGCCACACUGGGACUGAGACACGGCCCAGACUCCUACGGGAGGCAGCAGUGGGGAAUUUUGGACAAUGGGCGAAAGCCUGAUCCAGCAAUGCCGCGUGUGUGAAGAAGGCCUUCGGGUUGUAAAGCACUUUUGUCCGGAAAGAAAUCCUUGGCUCUAAUACAGUCGGGGGAUGACGGUACCGGAAGAAUAAGCACCGGCUAACUACGUG
This 486-nucleotide ribosomal RNA is filed under the name uncultured bacterium. Its description in RNAcentral is "partial 16S ribosomal RNA". It matches the Rfam family "Bacterial small subunit ribosomal RNA", at positions 30 to 507 of the family's 1533-position model. The record is from RNAcentral.